This 115-nucleotide ribozyme is filed under the name Aedes aegypti (yellow fever mosquito). Its description in RNAcentral is "drz-agam-1 ribozyme". It matches the Rfam family "drz-agam-1 ribozyme". The record is from Rfam by way of RNAcentral. Lineage: Eukaryota; Metazoa; Arthropoda; Insecta; Diptera; Culicidae.
UGCCGAGCAACUCCUAUCCCUACCUCCUCGCGGUACAAACGGGGUACGAGUUAUCUUAGGGGAGAUCGGGUAACCAACCCCGGCGGGAACUCUGGUCGUAUGUUGACAGGGAAGG